GGGGGGCUGGGGGCACUUGGUGGGCUUUCGUCUUGUUUUUCUUUUCUUUUUUCACUUCCUUCCUUUGGAAAGGAGCGUCUCUGGCUCUCUGCCGAUCUGCCGCUGCUCGCGACUGCUACCCUGUUCUCGACACCCGUCUUGCCGUGGCCUGCUGCUUGCUCCGCCGUUUCCCCGGUGAUUUGGCCAGCGUUGGGCGCGCGUCUGGCGUGUUCUUCGGCAGAUCCCUUCGUUCGGUCCUACGCUGCCGUCGAGUCUUCAUCUGCUCCAAUCGCUGGUUCUGGUCGUUUCCAACUUUCCAUCUGCGUUCGUUUUUGCUUGGGGUGGUUACAGGAUCUAUGAAAGAAUUACUUACUUUUGCUAUGCGGAGCGGGAGGAGGUGUUUGACGGAAUUCUGCUAUGAGGAGUAGGGCAGGAAGCUGCCGCCGUGGACGUCGCCGAGGGGGCCUCGUGAAGCCAAGAGCCAGAUGUGAUGUUCCGACGAGGUGGAGCCCCCGCACCCCGCCGUGAGAGCGGGCGGCUCUGGGAGCCAAGUCACGCCGCCCCUAACCGCUGGCUUCUGCUGUUCCCCCUUCCUACCGCGUGACCCCGCCACUAGCGUCAGCAGGUGCUCUCUCGCGUGAUGUCGCCGGUGGGUGUUCCAGGCCGCCGAGGGCGCCGCUGGCUGUGGUGGAUUCACCAUAUUUGAGGGCGAAGCAGGCGCAGUUAACGCAGUUCACUUCCAUCUAUAAUUACACGAUAGAAGGGCAGGCUGAUGAAAUAGCUGCUGAUGAUACUUGCCGUUUGCUUUUUCACACCACAACGCACCUGUAGUCUAGGAAUUAAGUUGAGGAUGAAAUAGACUGAAAGGGUGAUAAGUCACUCUAGCAGCAGGUCCCAGCAUGAACUGGUUUUCUUUGCUUGGAGUUCUCCUGUACUAAAUAUUCAAGAAAGCAAAACCAAAGGCGCAGACUACACAAAGAUUAUGCACCAACAUUUAAUUACAGAAGGAUCAGGAUCUUAGCUGCCAGUUCAUAGGGAAAACAUGUAUUUAGAUCUCCCUAAUGGGUAUUAUAUAUCUCUCUCUAUUGAAAAUUAGGUAUUUAUCUUAGAAUUGUUACUGAAUCUAUCUCCAUGUUUGAGAGAGUGCACUCGAAAGGGCCAGUUGGCAUCCAACUCUUGGUCAUCUGCCCUCUCCCGUUCUUAAAUCUGUUGAAAACUGUAACAAAAACUUGGAGACAUAAGCUUUACCAGGAUUAUGAAGGAACCCAACUUCAUGUAAGGAACAUUGCUGGGAUAAUCUAGAGCAUACAAUUUACUUUCCCUCCAAAGAUUCAUUGUUAGCUUGGUUCUUUUACUGUGUAUGAUUUAGUUUUUCAAACCAAUGCAGAGAAGUAUUUUAAGUAUUGGAGGUGUAUUAUUUCUCUUGCUCGCUAUGCAUAUUGUUUGACAUUCCGAUAUGAUUUAUUUUUGGGACAGUUGCUAGGAUUACUUGAUUGUAAAAGCAAUAGUUGGUUCUGACUUUUGAUCUAGAAUUCUAGAACUAACCAUAUCUAGAGUGCUAAUGUUUAGAGAUUUUGUGCGUGGAACUUUAUUUUUGUAUUUAAUUUGCGGCCAUGCAGAUGACCAUGUAAUUACCAAAUAUAUUGUUUGUGUUUCUGUUUGUUGUCAAUCAUGCAUAAAUGUCAUCAAGCUUCUUGCUGCUCAGUUUGUUUAGCUCCUUUGCGAAAGAAAAAAGUUUGUUUAGCUAGAGCAGUACUUGCAUUCCACACUUUUAACGUCUUCACUCUACCUUUUCAAACCUGGGAAUAACAUGAGCAUGGCUGAGAACGAGGCAAAGCAUAUUAUUUUUGGCUGCGAUGUGAUAGAACUGCCACAAAUGAGAAGAAGACGAAAAGAUUCGAGGUGCAGGAUAAUGAAACACAGUGGUGGAAGUUCCAUGGGCAUGUGUAUUUAACGCCAAAAAAUUCUCGAAAAGUUACGGAAAAUUAUGUAUAGAUAUGAUGAUAACAAGGCGGGCAAUGCAAAAAAGAUGUGAUCAGCAGUGCUGCAACACGCGUGAAGUUGCAGUUUAUACUAUGCAUACACUAAGCAAAACCUGAGAAAGAAAUCACUAUGAAUCCAGUUAUGCAGAAGUGUUGACGGCGCGGCGAAGCGCGCCUUUCUGUCUAGUAAGAGUAUAAGACUGUGGUUGCCCCUUUUUCUUCUGUAGUGAUGGUCUAUUUAGUUACGCUUACCAUUUCUUCCCCUUCCCAGGGCCGGUGAACUUGAGCGCAUGCCAAUUUUGAUAAUUUCUUGGAACUUUUCUGCCUUCAGAUCAGGGCCAUAUUUUCCCCAAUUAUUGCUACAACAUACCAUCAGUUUUCUGAGGCCAGGCUUCACCUCAGUAGCUCCGGCAAGCACCCUGAACCUAGGACUGAGGGUGUCUUCCAUGCAAAGAGGGCCACAACCUGCAGGUCACUCUGUUUGUUUGUGCUUUGCUUCGGGAGUUCAUUACAAGUGCUGCACUUAAGGUGUCUGUGGGAAGCAUUUCAGGUGGUCAUCGAAAUACAAUAAACAUUAAGGAGGAUAUCUUCCUGUUCUUUUCCCAGUUUUUCCAUGGGAACCUGCAGCUCGAAAGAAUUAAUAGAUCAUUCAUGAUUUUGCUGCGGAAAAAGGAAAAUGACAGUUCCCGGGUGCCUUUCGCCCCAUUUUUCUGCUGAAUUGUCUGGUCAAGUGGAUCACUAAAUUGCUUGCAGGAAGGUUACAAAAAGAAAUUACCAAGUUAGUGGAUGACGACCAAUCUGGUAUUGUUAAAUCUCGGUGCAUAGCUGACAACUUUUUAUAUGCAAUGCAAUGGAUUUAGUUCAAGCUUGCAGAAAAAGAAAGAAAAAAGCUAUGGUUCUCAAGCUAGAUUUUCGCAAA
Long non-coding RNA from Brachypodium distachyon (stiff brome), 2880 nucleotides. RefSeq lists it as uncharacterized. The record is from RefSeq and is a predicted model, not a curated record. The transcript has 5 exons. Lineage: Eukaryota; Viridiplantae; Streptophyta; Magnoliopsida; Poales; Poaceae.